RNAcentral lists this ribosomal RNA (448 nucleotides) under uncultured bacterium. Its description in RNAcentral is "bacterial SSU rRNA". It matches the Rfam family "Bacterial small subunit ribosomal RNA", at positions 64 to 507 of the family's 1533-position model. The record is from RNAcentral.
GAGCGGAUGACAGGAGCUUGCUCCUUGAUUCAGCGGCGGACGGGUGAGUAGUACCUAGGAAUCUGCCUGGUAGUGGGGGACAACGUUUCGAAAGGAACGCUAAUACCGCAUACGUCCUACGGGAGAAAGCAGGGGACCUUCGGGCCUUGCGCUAUCAGAUGAGCCUAGGUCGGAUUAGCUAGUUGGUGGGGUAAUGGCUCACCAAGGCGACGAUCCGUAACUGGUCUGAGAGGAUGAUCAGUCACACUGGAACUGAGACACGGUCCAGACUCCUACGGGAGGCAGCAGUGGGGAAUAUUGGACAAUGGGCGAAAGCCUGAUCCAGCCAUGCCGCGUGUGUGAAGAAGGUCUUCGGAUUGUAAAGCACUUUAAGUUGGGAGGAAGGGCAGUAAGUUAAUACCUUGCUGUUUUGACGUUACCGACAGAAUAAGCACCGGCUAACUCUGUG